CCCCAAAUAGCUCAGUUGAGAGAGCGUUAAACUGAAGAUCUAAAGGUUCCUAGUUUGAUCUCGGGUUUCGGCA
This is a non-coding RNA of Cordylochernes scorpioides, 73 nucleotides long. NCBI's taxonomy places the organism in Eukaryota, Metazoa, Arthropoda, Arachnida, Pseudoscorpiones, Chernetidae. The record is from the annotation of a GenBank genome assembly.